RNAcentral lists this long non-coding RNA (363 nucleotides) under Homo sapiens (human). RNAcentral describes it as "HSALNT0298260". The record is from RNAcentral. Lineage: Eukaryota; Metazoa; Chordata; Mammalia; Primates; Hominidae.
GAAUAAAAGCAGAGAAUUUAAAAGAUAAAAGUUUUGAAGAGUCAGCACAUCAGAGAGACAAUGAAGUGUGGUGGCAAGUACAAAUUUAAGUUCCCAAAGCUGCUAUGUGACAAGGGUGGCUUCCUGGAAGAAUGAUACUGGAGUUGAAUUUGAGAUGUUCCUUCUCUGUACCCCACAACACCCUGCACAGCUUCCCUCAUGCAUCGCUCCAUCAGUGUCUGCAUGAGUCAUGUCUUCCUUGGUGACCCUGCUUCCUGCAAACCCUGCAGCAGGUUGACAUUCUGGGACUGCUGCUCCUGGUGGUAAGCAUUGUUAAGCUUUCUGCUCUCCACCGUGCAUUGGGACUCCUCACCCGGAGGUGGU